GCUUUAAUAAUUUAAUCUAAAAUAUUGAUUUUGUAAAUCAAACAUAAAUUUAAAUAUAUAAUUUUUAAAGUA
This 72-nucleotide transfer RNA is filed under the name Lype phaeopa. RNAcentral's name for it is "tRNA-Thr". The record is from RNAcentral. Lineage: Eukaryota; Metazoa; Arthropoda; Insecta; Trichoptera; Psychomyiidae.